RNAcentral lists this ribosomal RNA (924 nucleotides) under uncultured bacterium. Its description in RNAcentral is "bacterial SSU rRNA". It matches the Rfam family "Bacterial small subunit ribosomal RNA", at positions 33 to 946 of the family's 1533-position model. The record is from RNAcentral.
ACGCUGGCGGCAUGCUUUACACAUGCAAGUCGGACGGCAGCACAGAGAAGCUUGCUUCUUGGGUGGCGAGUGGCGAACGGGUGAGUAAUAUAUCGGAACGUACCGAGUAAUGGGGGAGAACUAAUCGAAAGAUUAGCUAAUACCGCAUAUUCUCUGAGGAGGAAAGCAGGGGACCUUCGGGCCUUGCGUUAUUCGAGCAGCCGAUAUCUGAUUAGCUAGUUGGUAGGGUAAAGGCCUACCAAGGCGACGAUCAGUAGCGGGUCUGAGAGGAUGAUCCGCCACACUGGGACUGAGACACGGCCCAGACUCCUACGGGAGGCAGCAGUGGGGAAUUUUGGACAAUGGGCGCAAGCCUGAUCCAGCCAUGCCGCGUGUCUGAAGAAGGCCUUCGGGUUGUAAAGGACUUUUGUCAGGGAAGAAAAGGCUGUUGCUAAUACCGACAGCUGAUGACGGUACCUGAAGAAUAAGCACCGGCUAACUACGUGCCAGCAGCCGCGGUAAUACGUAGGGUGCGAGCGUUAAUCGGAAUUACUGGGCGUAAAGCGAGCGCAGACGGUUACUUAAGCAGGAUGUGAAAUCCCCGGGCUCAACCUGGGAACUGCGUUCUGAACUGGGUGACUAGAGUGUGUCAGAGGGAGGUAGAAUUCCACGUGUAGCAGUGAAAUGCGUAGAGAUGUGGAGGAAUACCGAUGGCGAAGGCAGCCUCCUGGGAUAACACUGACGUUCAUGCUCGAAAGCGUGGGUAGCAAACAGGAUUAGAUACCCUGGUAGUCCACGCCCUAAACGAUGUCAAUUAGCUGUUGGGCAACUUGAUUGCUUAGUAGCGUAGCUAACGCGUGAAAUUGACCGCCUGGGGAGUACGGUCGCAAGAUUAAAACUCAAAGGAAUUGACGGGGACCCGCACAAGCGGUGGAUGAUGUGGAU